GCACCCGUAGCUCAGAUGGAUAGAGCGCCAGCCUCCGAAGCUGGAGGUCACAGGUUCGAAUCCUGUCGGGUGCGCCA
Molecule: transfer RNA, 77 nt
Filed under: Caulobacter sp.
Lineage: Bacteria; Pseudomonadati; Pseudomonadota; Alphaproteobacteria; Caulobacterales; Caulobacteraceae
Description: tRNA-Arg
Rfam family: tRNA
About the family: Transfer RNA (tRNA) molecules are approximately 80 nucleotides in length. Their secondary structure includes four short double-helical elements and three loops (D, anti-codon, and T loops).
Source: RNAcentral